This 468-nucleotide ribosomal RNA is filed under the name uncultured bacterium. Its description in RNAcentral is "partial 16S ribosomal RNA". It matches the Rfam family "Bacterial small subunit ribosomal RNA", at positions 28 to 507 of the family's 1533-position model. The record is from RNAcentral.
GACGAACGCUGGCGGCGUGCUUAACACAUGCAAGUCGAACGGAAAGGCCCUGCUUUUGUGGGGUGCUCGAGUGGCGAACGGGUGAGUAACACGUGAGUAACCUGCCCUUUACUUUGGGAUAACUUCAGGAAACUGGGGCUAAUACCGGAUCGUAGCUCCUGCUGCAUGGUGGGGGUUGGAAAGUUUCGGCGGUUGGGGAUGGACUCGCGGCUUAUCAGCUUGUUGGUGGGGUAGUGGCUUACCAAGGCUUUGACGGGUAGCCGGCCUGAGAGGGUGACCGGCCACAUUGGGACUGAGAGACGGCCCAGACGCCUACGGGAGGCAGCAGUGGGGAAUAUUGCACAAUGGGCGGAAGCCUGAUGCAGCAACGCCGCGUGCGGGAUGAAGGCCUUCGGGUUGUAAACCGCUUUCGCCUGUGACGAAGCGUGAGUGACGGUAAUGGGUAAAGAAGCACCGGCUAACUACGUG